CGAUUGACGGAGCGAAGCGACGUCAAAGCGUUCAUUAAAGUCGAGUUGGCUUAGGGAUACGUUCGUUGGGUAGGGGAGCGUUCUGUAAGCCUGUGAAGGUGUGUCGUGAGGCAUGCUGGAGGUAUCAGAAGUGCGAAUGCUGACAUAAGUAACGAUAAAGCGGGUGAAAAGCCCGCUCGCCGGAAGACCAAGGGUUCCUGUCCAACGUUAAUCGGGGCAGGGUGAGUCGACCCCUAAGGCGAGGCCGAAAGGCGUAGUCGAUGGGAAACGGGUUAAUAUUCCCGUACUUGGUGUUACUGCGAAGGGGGGACGGAGAAGGCUAUGUUGGCCGGGCGACGGUUGUCCCGGUUUAAGCGUGUAGGUGUGUGUUCCAGGUAAAUCCGGUUCACUUUAACACUGAGGCGUGAUGACGAGGCACUACGGUGCUGAAGCAACAAAUGCCCUGCUUCCAGGAAAAGCCUCUAAGCAUCAGGUAACAUCAAAUCGUACCCCAAACCGACACAGGUGGUCAGGUAGAGAAUACCAAGGCGCUUGAGAGAACUCGGGUGAAGGAACUAGGCAAAAUGGUGCCGUAACUUCGGGAGAAGGCACGCUGACACGUAGGUGAAGUGAUUUACUCAUGGAGCUGAAGUCAGUCGAAGAUACCAGCUGGCUGCAACUGUUUAUUAAAAACACAGCACUGUGCAAACACGAAAGUGGACGUAUACGGUGUGACGCCUGCCCGGUGCCGGAAGGUUAAUUGAUGGGGUCAGCGUAAGCGAAGCUCCUGAUCGAAGCCCCGGUAAACGGCGGCCGUAACUAUAACGGUCCUAAGGUAGCGAAAUUCCUUGUCGGGUAAGUUCCGACCUGCACGAAUGGCGUAAUGAUGGCCAGGCUGUCUCCACCCGAGACUCAGUGAAAUUGAACUCGCUGUGAAGAUGCAGUGUACCCGCGGCAAGACGGAAAGACCCCGUGAACCUUUACUAUAGCUUGACACUGAACAUUGAGCCUUGAUGUGUAGGAUAGGUGGGAGGCUUUGAAGUGUGGACGCCAGUCUGCAUGGAGCCGACCUUGAAAUACCACCCUUUAAUGUUU
This 1074-nucleotide ribosomal RNA is filed under the name Salmonella enterica subsp. enterica serovar Typhimurium. RNAcentral's name for it is "partial 23S ribosomal RNA". It matches the Rfam family "Bacterial large subunit ribosomal RNA", at positions 1183 to 2215 of the family's 2925-position model. Lineage: Bacteria; Pseudomonadati; Pseudomonadota; Gammaproteobacteria; Enterobacterales; Enterobacteriaceae. The record is from RNAcentral.